UCGUGCUAGAUGGGGAGCUAGCGGUGCCCUGUACCCGCAACCCGCUUAGCGGGGUCGAAUUCCCUCUCGAGGUCCGGCUCUGUGGGACUAACGUCGCCACGUGGUGUUGAAGGCCGGGUCCCGCGCGGCGAGGCACUGUGAACCAGGUCAGGACCGGAAGGUAGCAGCCUUAAGCGGAACGCCUCGGGUGACGCGGGGACGCCCCGCCGGAGCAAACGAGCGCCGGAAAGCCGGAGGGUCGCUGAUCGACAGAGGGUGCACGA
Molecule: signal recognition particle RNA, 263 nt
Filed under: Thermomicrobiales bacterium
Lineage: Bacteria; Pseudomonadati; Thermomicrobiota; Thermomicrobia; Thermomicrobiales
Description: signal recognition particle sRNA large type
Rfam family: Bacterial large signal recognition particle RNA
About the family: The signal recognition particle (SRP) is a universally conserved ribonucleoprotein involved in the co-translational targeting of proteins to membranes.
Source: RNAcentral